This 84-nucleotide transfer RNA is filed under the name Anatilimnocola aggregata. Its description in RNAcentral is "Planctomycetes bacterium ETA_A8 tRNA-Tyr". It matches the Rfam family "tRNA". Rfam says of the family: Transfer RNA (tRNA) molecules are approximately 80 nucleotides in length. Their secondary structure includes four short double-helical elements and three loops (D, anti-codon, and T loops). Further hydrogen bonds mediate the characteristic L-shaped molecular structure. tRNAs have two regions of fundamental functional importance: the anti-codon, which is responsible for specific mRNA codon recognition, and the 3' end, to which the tRNAs corresponding amino acid is attached (by aminoacyl-tRNA synthetases). tRNAs cope with the degeneracy of the genetic code in two manners: having more than one tRNA (with a specific anti-codon) for a particular amino acid; and 'wobble' base-pairing, i.e. permitting non-standard base-pairing at the 3rd anti-codon position. Lineage: Bacteria; Pseudomonadati; Planctomycetota; Planctomycetia; Pirellulales; Pirellulaceae. The record is from RNAcentral.
GGUGAGUUUCCCGAGCGGUCAAAGGGGACAGACUGUAAAUCUGUUGACUUCGGUCUUCGGAGGUUCGAAUCCUCCACUCACCAC